Molecule: ribosomal RNA, 253 nt
Filed under: uncultured bacterium
Lineage: Bacteria
Description: partial 16S ribosomal RNA
Rfam family: Bacterial small subunit ribosomal RNA
Source: RNAcentral
UACGGAGGAGGCAAGCGUUGUUCGGAUUUACUGGGCGUAAAGGGCGCGUAGGCGGCUUGGUAAGUCGGGUGUGAAAUCCUUCCGCUUAACGGAAGAAGUGCACCCGAAACUGCCUUGCUCGAGUUUAGGAGAGGAGAGCGGAAUUCCCGGUGUAGAGGUGAAAUUCGUAGAUAUCGGGAGGAACACCCGUGGCGAAAGCGGCUCUCUGGCCUAAUACUGACGCUGAGGCGCGAAAGCGUGGGGAGCAGACAGG